RNAcentral lists this ribosomal RNA (422 nucleotides) under uncultured bacterium. RNAcentral's name for it is "bacterial SSU rRNA". It matches the Rfam family "Bacterial small subunit ribosomal RNA", at positions 355 to 774 of the family's 1533-position model. The record is from RNAcentral.
UGAGGAAUAUUGGACAAUGGGCGCAAGCCUGAUCCAGCCAUGCCGCGUGCAGGAAGAAGCAUCUAUGGUGUGUAAACUGCUUUUGUACGGGAAGAAACACUCCUACGUGUAGGAGCUUGACGGUACCGUAAGAAUAAGGAUCGGCUAACUCCGUGCCAGCAGCCGCGGUAAUACGGAGGAUCCAAGCGUUAUCCGGAAUCAUUGGGUUUAAAGGGUCCGUAGGCGGUUUAAUAAGUCAGUGGUGAAAGCCCAUCGCUCAACGAUGGAACGGCCAUUGAUACUGCUAGACUUGAAUUACAAGGAAGUAACUAGAAUAUGUAGUGUAGCGGUGAAACGCUUAGAUAUUACAUGGAAUACCAAUUGCGAAGGCAGGUUACUACUUGUGGAUUGACGCUGAUGGACGAAAGCGUGGGGAGCGAACA